Molecule: ribosomal RNA, 426 nt
Filed under: uncultured prokaryote
Description: bacterial SSU rRNA
Rfam family: Bacterial small subunit ribosomal RNA
Source: RNAcentral
UGGGGAAUCUUCCGCAAUGGACGAAAGUCUGACGGAGCGACGCCGCGUGAGUGAUGAAGGCCCUUGGGUCGUAAAGCUCUGUCAUUGGGGACGAACGAUUACAUCAGGAAAUGGGUGUGAAGUGACGGUACCCAAGAAGGAAGCCACGGCUAACUACGUGCCAGCAGCCGCGGUAAUACGUAGGUGGCGAGCGUUGUCCGGAAUUAUUGGGCGUAAAGCGCGCGCAGGUGGGAUCUUAAGUCUGUUUUGAAAGUUCGGAGCUUAACUCCGUGAUGGGAUGGAAACUGGGAUUCUUGAGUAUCGGAGAGGAAAGCGGAAUUCCCCGUGUAGCGGUGAAAUGCGUAGAUAUGGGGAGGAACACCAGUGGCGAAGGCGGCUUUCUGGACGAUGUCUGACACUGAGGCGCGAAAACUAGGGGAGCGAACG